Molecule: ribosomal RNA, 264 nt
Filed under: uncultured archaeon
Lineage: Archaea
Description: partial 16S ribosomal RNA
Rfam family: Archaeal small subunit ribosomal RNA
Source: RNAcentral
AGUCACUGACAUUAGAUACCCCGGUAGUCCCAGCCGUAAACUAUGCGCGUUAGGUGUACUGGUGACCACGAGUCACCGGGGUGCCGAAGGGAAACCGUGAAACGUGCCGCCUGGGAAGUACGGUCGCAAGGCUGAAACUUAAAGGAAUUGGCGGGGGAGCACCGCAACGGGAGGAGCGUGCGGUUUAAUUGGAUUCAACACCGUAAACUCACCAGGGAAGACUGUUACAUGAAGGCCGAGAUGAAGACUCUGCUAGAUUUUCAG